AAGAGUAUAGGGGCUUUAUGCCCACUAACUCCACCCUUUGUUUACAUACCAUUGUUGCUUUGGCAGGCCCGUCGAAAGACAACCGGCUCCGGCUGGUCAGUGCCUGCCAGAGGAUCUAAACUCUUGUUUAAUCAUAUUGUCUGAGUACUAUAUAAUAGUUA
Molecule: unclassified non-coding RNA, 161 nt
Filed under: uncultured Alatospora
Lineage: Eukaryota; Fungi; Ascomycota
Description: sequence contains ITS1
Source: RNAcentral